RNAcentral lists this ribosomal RNA (468 nucleotides) under uncultured bacterium. RNAcentral's name for it is "partial 16S ribosomal RNA". It matches the Rfam family "Bacterial small subunit ribosomal RNA", at positions 28 to 507 of the family's 1533-position model. The record is from RNAcentral.
GACGAACGCUGGCGGCGUGCUUAACACAUGCAAGUUGAACAGAAAGGCCCUGCUUUUGUGGGGUGCUCGAGUGGCGAACGGGUGAGUAACACGUGAGUAACCUGCCCUUGACUUUGGGAUAACUUCAGGAAACUGGGGCUAAUACCGGAUAGGAGCUCCUGCUGCGUGGUGGGGGUUGGAAAGUUUCGGCGGUUGGGGAUGGACUCGCGGCUUAUCAGCUUGUUGGUGGGGUAGUGGCUUACCAAGGCUUUGACGGGUAGCCGGCCUGAGAGGGUGACCGGCCACAUUGGGACUGAGAUACGGCCCAGACUCCUACGGGAGGCAGCAGUGGGGAAUAUUGCACAAUGGGCGGAAGCCUGAUGCAGCAACGCCGCGUGCGGGAUGACGGCCUUCGGGUUGUAAACCGCUUUCGCCUGUGACGAAGCGUGAGUGACGGUAAUGGGUAAAGAAGCACCGGCUAACUACGUG